CCUACGGGUGGCAGCAGUGAGGAAUAUUGGUCAAUGGACGAGAGUCUGAACCAGCCAAGUAGCGUGAAGGAUGACUGCCCUAUGGGUUGUAAACUUCUUUUAUAAAGGAAUAAAAUGAUGCACGUGUGCCUUUUUGUAUGUACUUUAUGAAUAAGGAUCGGCUAACUCCGUGCCAGCAGCCGCGGUAAUACGGAGGAUCCGAUCGUUAUCCGGAUUUAUUGGGUUUAAAGGGAGCGUAGAUGGGUUGUUAAGUCAGUUGUGAAAGUUUGCGGCUCAACCGUAAAAUUGCAAUUGAUACUGGCAGUCUUGAGUACAGUUGAGGUAGGCGGAAUUCGUGGUGUAGCGGUGAAAUGCUUAGAUAUCACGAAGAACCCCGAUUGCGAAGGCAGCUUACUAAACUGUGACUGACAUUGAUGCUCGAAAGUGUGGGUAUCAAACAGGAUUAGAUACCCGUGUAGUC
This 460-nucleotide ribosomal RNA is filed under the name uncultured bacterium. Its description in RNAcentral is "partial 16S ribosomal RNA". It matches the Rfam family "Bacterial small subunit ribosomal RNA", at positions 338 to 795 of the family's 1533-position model. The record is from RNAcentral.